RNAcentral lists this ribosomal RNA (251 nucleotides) under uncultured prokaryote. RNAcentral's name for it is "partial 16S rRNA". It matches the Rfam family "Bacterial small subunit ribosomal RNA", at positions 525 to 775 of the family's 1533-position model. The record is from RNAcentral.
ACGUAGGGGGCAAGCGUUGUCCGGAUUUAUUGGGCGUAAAGCGAGCGCAGGCGGUUGCUUAAGUCUGAUGUGAAAUCCCACGGCUCAACCUGGGGAGGUCAUUGGAAACUGGGGGACUUGAGUACAGAAGAGGAAAGCGGAAUUCCAUGUGUAGCGGUGAAAUGCGUAGAUAUAUGGAGGAACAUCAGUGGCGAAGGCGACUUUCUGGUCUGUCACUGACGCUGAGGCUCGAAAGCGUGGGGAGCAAACAG